GAGUUAACAACUCCCAAACCCCAUGUGAACCUAUACCAAAACGUUGCUUCGGCGGGAGCGCCCCGGCUCAGCCCGGAAGCAGGCGCCCGCCGAGGACCCCCUAAACCAUGCUUUCUACAGUUUCUUCUGAGUGGCAAACGCAAAAUAAAUUAAAACUUUUAACAACGGAUCUCUUGGCUCU
This 181-nucleotide unclassified non-coding RNA is filed under the name rhizosphere metagenome. RNAcentral's name for it is "partial ribosomal RNA internal transcribed spacer region". The record is from RNAcentral.